RNAcentral lists this transfer RNA (70 nucleotides) under Marmota marmota marmota (Alpine marmot). It matches the Rfam family "tRNA". From Rfam's summary of the family: Transfer RNA (tRNA) molecules are approximately 80 nucleotides in length. Their secondary structure includes four short double-helical elements and three loops (D, anti-codon, and T loops). Further hydrogen bonds mediate the characteristic L-shaped molecular structure. tRNAs have two regions of fundamental functional importance: the anti-codon, which is responsible for specific mRNA codon recognition, and the 3' end, to which the tRNAs corresponding amino acid is attached (by aminoacyl-tRNA synthetases). tRNAs cope with the degeneracy of the genetic code in two manners: having more than one tRNA (with a specific anti-codon) for a particular amino acid; and 'wobble' base-pairing, i.e. permitting non-standard base-pairing at the 3rd anti-codon position. Lineage: Eukaryota; Metazoa; Chordata; Mammalia; Rodentia; Sciuridae. The record is from Rfam by way of RNAcentral. RNAcentral also lists the same sequence under 1 other name.
GGGGCUGUAGCUCAGUGGUAGAGCACUUUCCUAGCACGUAUGAACACUGGGUUCAAUUCUCAGCACCUUA